UAUCUCUGUAGAGUCUGCAUAUCAAUAAGCGGAGGAAAAGAAACUAACAAGGAUUCCCUUAGUAACGGCGAGUGAAGCGGGAAGAGCUCAAAUUUGAAAUCUUCAAGGUUCUACCUUGACGAAUUGUAGUUUAAAGAAGUGUUUUCUGUUAGAUGAGUAGCAAAAGUUCCUUGGAAUGGGACAUCAUAGAGGGUGAGAAUCCCGUAUUUGGUUAUUCAUUCUAGCUUUGUGAUACACUUUCAAAGAGUCGGAUUGUUUGGGAAUGCAGUCCAAAAUGGGUGGUAAAUUUCAUCUAAAGCUAAAUAUUGGCGAGAGACCGAUAGCGAACAAGUACCGUGAGGGAAAGAUGAAAAGAACUUUGAAAAGAGAGUUAAACAUGUACGUGAAAUUGUCAAAAGGGAAGCGUUUGACACCAGUGUUGUUUUUCCGAAAAUCAAUUACGAAUGGCUUGAUUUUGUGUUGUAUUGACCUUAUCAGCUUUCUUCACUUUUUUCGAGUCUUUCUUAAUGCACUUUUCGGUUAACAAGUCAACAUCAAUUUCUUUUGUUGUAAAAGAGUAUUCGGAAGGUGGCUUUCUUUUCGGAGAAAGUGUUUAUAGCCCUAUACUUCUACAAUCGGAGAGAUUGAGGUCUGCAGCGUAGAUCCUUCGGGGUUAGAUACACUUGUGCUAAGUUGUAGCUUUUCAUAGACAACUUGUUGACUAUGUUUAGUCAUGCGGCUUACUCGCUUGUGCUAUUUUACCUACGCUUAGGAUGUUGACUGAUAUGUAGUCGUA
RNAcentral lists this ribosomal RNA (775 nucleotides) under uncultured Neocallimastigales. RNAcentral's name for it is "partial large subunit ribosomal RNA". It matches the Rfam family "Eukaryotic large subunit ribosomal RNA", at positions 24 to 644 of the family's 3401-position model. The record is from RNAcentral. Lineage: Eukaryota; Fungi; Neocallimastigomycota; Neocallimastigomycetes; Neocallimastigales.